AGCCCAACUCUAGCCCAACCCCUACAACCAAAUACACCUAAAAAUUUACUAAACCUCUAGACUAAAACAUUCUUGCAACCUAGUAUAGGUGAUAGAAAAGGCUUUCAGGCGCGAUAGAAACUCGUACCGUAAGGGAAAGAUGAAAUAAUAGUGAAUAACCCAAGCAGCAAACAGCAAAGAUAAACCCUUGUACCUUUUGCAUCAUGAUUUAGCAAGAAUAAUCAAGCAAAGCGAACUUAAGCUUGCCACCCCGAAACCUAAGCGAGCUACUUGCGAGCAGCUACCAUUGAGCGAACCCGUCUCUGUUGCAAAAGAGUGGGAUGACUUGCUAGUAGAGGUGAAAAGCCAAUCGAGCUAGGUGAUAGCUGGUUACCUGUGAAACGAAUCUAAGUUCCACCUUGCACUCCCCUCCAAGGACCAAAACAACCCCAAUGAGGACAACCAAGAGUAAUUUAAAGGGGGUACAGCUCCUUUAAAAAAGAGUACAACCUCUUCUAGCGGAUAACAUCUAACCCGAACAACUAGUUGUGGGCCUUCAAGCAGCCACCAAUAAAGAGUGCGUCAAAGCUCUUAACCCCUUAAAAAUUUCAAAACUACUCGAUUCCCUUCACCACCAACAGGUCAACCUAUAUCAAUAGGAGAAUUAAUGCUAAAAUGAGUAAUUCGGACAUAUCCCCUCUUAAGCGCAAACUUACAUACCCCCAUUAUUAACAGACAGCUAAUACCUUCACUCUAACGAGACUGCAUAUUUCACCCGCUGUUAACCCAACCCAGGAGCGCCUAUUAGAAAGAUUAAAAUCUGUAAAAGGAACUCGGCAAACACAAGGCCCGACUGUUUACCAAAAACAUAGCCUUCAGCCAAACAAGUAUUGAAGGUGAUGCCUGCCCAGUGACCCCAUGUUUAACGGCCGCGGUAUCCUAACCGUGCGAAGGUAGCGCAAUCAAUUGUCCCAUAAAUCGAGACUUGUAUGAAUGGCUAAACGAGGUCUUAACUGUCUCUUACAGAUAAUCAGUGAAAUUGAUCUUCCUGUGCAAAAGCAGGAAUAAGCACAUAAGACGAGAAGACCCUGUGGAACUUAAAAAUCAGCAGCCAUCCCUUAGCACAGAUCAAACCUACCAGGUCCACUGCAACAAACACUGGCUUGCAUUUUUCGGUUGGGGCGACCUUGGAGAAAAACAAAUCCUCCAAAAAUAAGACCACCCCUCUUAACCAAGAGCAACCCCUCAACGUACUAACAGUAACCAGACCCAAUAUAAUUGACCAAUGGACCAAGCUACCCCAGGGAUAACAGCGCAAUCCCCUCCAAGAGCCCAUAUCGACAAGGGGGUUUACGACCUCGAUGUUGGAUCAGGACAUCCUAAUGGUGCAGCCGCUAUUAAGGGUUCGUUUGUUCAACGAUUAACAGUCCUACGUGAUCUGAGUUCAGACCGGAGUAAUCCAGGUCGGUUUCUAUCUAUGAUUGACUUUUCCUAGUACGAAAGGAUCGGAAAAGUGGAGCCAAUACUUCAACGUACGCCCUCUCUCUAAGUAAUGACUUCAACUAAAUUACCAAGAGACCUCACACCCUAAAUCCUAGAAAAGGACC
This 1586-nucleotide ribosomal RNA is filed under the name Chalcophaps indica. RNAcentral's name for it is "16S ribosomal RNA". It matches the Rfam family "Bacterial large subunit ribosomal RNA". Lineage: Eukaryota; Metazoa; Chordata; Aves; Columbiformes; Columbidae. The record is from RNAcentral.